This 252-nucleotide ribosomal RNA is filed under the name uncultured bacterium. RNAcentral describes it as "partial 16S ribosomal RNA". It matches the Rfam family "Bacterial small subunit ribosomal RNA", at positions 524 to 776 of the family's 1533-position model. The record is from RNAcentral.
UACGUAGGGUGCAAGCGUUAAUCGGAAUUACUGGGCGUAAAGCGUGCGCAGGCGGUUGUGCAAGACCGAUGUGAAAGCCCCGGGCUUAACCUGGGAAUGGCCGUCGAAACUGGCGAACUGGAGUGUGGCAGAGGGGGUGGAAUUCCGCGUGUAGCAGUGAAAUGCGUAGAGAUGCGGAGGAACACCGAUGGCGAAGGCAGCCCCCUGGGCUGACACUGACGCUCAGGCACGAAAGCGUGGGGAGCAAACAGG